RNAcentral lists this ribosomal RNA (152 nucleotides) under Cladonia fruticulosa. RNAcentral's name for it is "5.8S ribosomal RNA". It matches the Rfam family "5.8S ribosomal RNA". Rfam says of the family: 5.8S ribosomal RNA (5.8S rRNA) is a component of the large subunit of the eukaryotic ribosome. It is transcribed by RNA polymerase I as part of the 45S precursor that also contains 18S and 28S rRNA. Functionally, it is thought that 5.8S rRNA may be involved in ribosome translocation. Lineage: Eukaryota; Fungi; Ascomycota; Lecanoromycetes; Lecanorales; Cladoniaceae. The record is from RNAcentral.
CUUUCAACAACGGAUCUCUUGGUUCUGGCAUCGAUGAAGAACGCAGCGAAAUGCGAUAAGUAAUGUGAAUUGCAGAAUUCAGUGAAUCAUCGAAUCUUUGAACGCACAUUGCGCCCCUCGGUAUUCCGGGGGGCAUGCCUGUUCGAGCGUUG